Molecule: ribosomal RNA, 253 nt
Filed under: uncultured bacterium
Lineage: Bacteria
Description: partial 16S ribosomal RNA
Rfam family: Bacterial small subunit ribosomal RNA
Source: RNAcentral
UACGUAGGUGGCAAGCGUUGUCCGGAUUUCCUGGGCGUAAAGAGCGCGCAGGCGGUCGUGCAAGUCGCGUGUGAAAGCCCCCGGCUCAACUGGGGAGGGUCACGCGAUACUGCUCGACUCGAAGGCAGGAGAGGGAAGUGGAAUUCCCGGUGUAGUGGUGAAAUGCGUAGAUAUCGGGAGGAACACCAGUGGCGAAGGCGACUUCCUGGCCUGUUCUUGACGCUGAGGCGCGAAAGCUAGGGUAGCAAACGGG